UACAGAUGGCGCACGGCGCACGGGUGCGUAACACGUGGGUAAUCUGCCCUUCGAUGGGGAAUAACUCGCCGAAAGGCGAGCUAAUUCCGCAUAACAUUCCUUGAACUUCGGUUUGGGGACUCAAAGCCGUAAGGCGUCGGAGGAGGAACCCGCGCACGAUUAGCUAGUUGGUAGGGUAACGGCCUACCAAGGCUUUGAUCGUUAGCUGGUCUGAGAGGAUGGCCAGCCACACUGGAACUGAGACACGGUCCAGACUCCUACGGGAGGCAGCAGUGGGGAAUCUUGCACAAGGGGCGAAAGCUUGAUGCAGCGACGCCUCGGGGGGGAUGAAGCUUUUCGGAGUG
Molecule: ribosomal RNA, 344 nt
Filed under: uncultured bacterium
Lineage: Bacteria
Description: bacterial SSU rRNA
Rfam family: Bacterial small subunit ribosomal RNA
Source: RNAcentral